GAUGAACGCUGGCGGCGUGCCUAAUACAUGCAAGUCGAGCGGGUGUAGCAAUACAUCAGCGGCGAACGGUGAGUAACACGUGGGUAACCUGCCUCUCAGUCUGGGAUACCCCGAGGGAAACCUCGGCUAAUACCGGAUACUUCUCUUGAAGGCAUCUUCGAGAGAUAAAAACGGCUUCACAGCCGCGCUGAGAGAUGGACCUGCGGCGCAUUAGCUAGUUGGUGAGAUAAUAGCCCACCAAGGCGAGGAUGCGUAGCCGACCUGAGAGGGUG
This 272-nucleotide ribosomal RNA is filed under the name uncultured bacterium. RNAcentral's name for it is "partial 16S ribosomal RNA". It matches the Rfam family "Bacterial small subunit ribosomal RNA", at positions 28 to 302 of the family's 1533-position model. The record is from RNAcentral.